This 484-nucleotide long non-coding RNA is filed under the name Marmota monax (woodchuck). The record is from RNAcentral. Lineage: Eukaryota; Metazoa; Chordata; Mammalia; Rodentia; Sciuridae.
UUAUCAUUGUCUACAAAGUCUAGAGAAUUUUUCAGAGUGACUUUAAAAUCAGUGCUAUUAAUUUUCUUAAAAAUUUGUUUUUAAAAGAUAGGGCUGAUCAUUAAGUAGCAAUUAGCAUGACAGAAUGAUCUAGUUAUGAAGACUCUGUGACUUUUAAGAUUUUUUUUCUGAAUAAAAUGUAGCAUGUGUAGUUUUUUUAAAAGCCUAUAAAGUAUAGAAGAAAUGAAAGUAGCUUUAAUGUUAUUGCUAGUAACCCUGUAGCAUGUUCACACACAUACUCAGUUUUAUACAGUUCAAACUAUAUUAUCUAUUAUUUGUGCCCAGUGACAAAAUCAUAAGGAUCGUCCCCCACACAAAUCUCUUUGUAAAUCUAAUCUUCAACAUGAGAUUGUGGAUAUGCUUUCAAAUAGUUAACACUUUCUCAACAUUGGAGUUUGAUUUUUUUGUUAUAACGCAGUGUGACUAACCUUAUGUAACAUUUCCC